GGUCAGGUGGCCAAGUGGUUGAAGGCGUUGGUCUGCAAAACCGAAAUCGUGGGUUCGAGUCCCACCCUGACCU
RNAcentral lists this transfer RNA (73 nucleotides) under Zarconia navalis LEGE 11467. It matches the Rfam family "tRNA". Rfam says of the family: Transfer RNA (tRNA) molecules are approximately 80 nucleotides in length. Their secondary structure includes four short double-helical elements and three loops (D, anti-codon, and T loops). Lineage: Bacteria; Bacillati; Cyanobacteriota; Cyanophyceae; Oscillatoriales. The record is from Rfam by way of RNAcentral.